RNAcentral lists this ribosomal RNA (366 nucleotides) under uncultured eukaryote. RNAcentral describes it as "partial 18S ribosomal RNA". It matches the Rfam family "Eukaryotic small subunit ribosomal RNA", at positions 592 to 976 of the family's 1831-position model. The record is from RNAcentral.
CAAUAGCGUAUAUUUAAGUUGUUGCAGUUAAAAAGCUCGUAGUUGGAUUUCUGGAGGGAGCGUCGGCCCGUAUUUACGAGUGCGUGACGUCUCUGUCCAUCCUUGCGGGAAGGCACGGCAUUGAUUUGUUGUGUCGGAUCGCAUCAUUUACUGUGAAAAAAUUAGAGUGUUCAAAGCAGGCUUUCGCUUGAAUACAUUAGCAUGGAAUAAUAAGAUAGGACUUUGGUGCUAUUUUGUUGGUUGAGCCUAAAGUAAAGAUUAAUAGGGAUAGUUGGGGGCACCUGUAUUGCGUUGUCAGAGGUGAAAUUCUUGGAUUUACGCAAGACAAACAGCUGCGAAAGCGUCUGCCAAGGAUGUUUUCAUUAA